RNAcentral lists this ribosomal RNA (465 nucleotides) under Vreelandella stevensii. RNAcentral describes it as "partial 16S ribosomal RNA". It matches the Rfam family "Bacterial small subunit ribosomal RNA", at positions 338 to 795 of the family's 1533-position model. The record is from RNAcentral. Lineage: Bacteria; Pseudomonadati; Pseudomonadota; Gammaproteobacteria; Oceanospirillales; Halomonadaceae.
CCUACGGGGGGCAGCAGUGGGGAAUAUUGGACAAUGGGGGCAACCCUGAUCCAGCCAUGCCGCGUGUGUGAAGAAGGCCCUCGGGUUGUAAAGCACUUUCAGUGAGGAAGAACGCCUGGUGGUUAAUACCCAUCAGGAAAGACAUCACUCACAGAAGAAGCACCGGCUAACUCCGUGCCAGCAGCCGCGGUAAUACGGAGGGUGCGAGCGUUAAUCGGAAUUACUGGGCGUAAAGCGCGCGUAGGUGGCUUGAUAAGCCGGUUGUGAAAGCCCCGGGCUCAACCUGGGAACGGCAUCCGGAACUGUCAAGCUAGAGUGCAGGAGAGGAAGGUAGAAUUCCCGGUGUAGCGGUGAAAUGCGUAGAGAUCGGGAGGAAUACCAGUGGCGAAGGCGGCCUUCUGGUCUGACACUGACACUGAGGUGCGAAAGCGUGGGUAGCAAACAGGAUUAGAUACCCGGGUAGUC